Molecule: transfer RNA, 87 nt
Filed under: Bacteriophage sp.
Description: tRNA-Ser
Rfam family: tRNA
About the family: Transfer RNA (tRNA) molecules are approximately 80 nucleotides in length. Their secondary structure includes four short double-helical elements and three loops (D, anti-codon, and T loops).
Source: RNAcentral
GGAGAGUUGACUGAGCGGUUUAAAGUGGCGCCCUGCUAAGGCGCUGAUCGAGUAAUCGGUCCAGAGGUUCGAAUCCUCUACUCUCCG